UGGGGAAUAUUGCACAAUGGGCGCAAGCCUGAUGCAGCCAUGCCGCGUGAGUGAUGAAGGCCCUAGGGUUGUAAAGCUCUUUCACCGGGGAAGAUAAUGACGGUACCCGGAGAAGAAGCCCCGGCUAACUCCGUGCCAGCAGCCGCGGUAAUACGGAGGGGGCUAGCGUUGUUCGGAAUUUCUGGGCGUAAAGCGUACGUAGGCGGGUCGGUCAGUCAGAGGUGAAAUCCCGAAGCUUAACUUCGGAACUGCCUUUGAUACCGCCGAUCUAGAGUGCGGGGGAGGUGAGUGGAAUUCCUAGUGUAGAGGUGAAAUUCGUAGAUAUUAGGAAGAACACCAGUGGCGAAGGCGGCUCACUGGCCCGGUACUGACGCUGAGGUGCGAAAGCGUGGGGAGCAAACAGGAUUAGAUACCCGCGUAGUCC
RNAcentral lists this ribosomal RNA (424 nucleotides) under uncultured prokaryote. RNAcentral's name for it is "bacterial SSU rRNA". It matches the Rfam family "Bacterial small subunit ribosomal RNA", at positions 355 to 796 of the family's 1533-position model. The record is from RNAcentral.